AAAGUUAUUUUGGGUUAGAAUAUGUUAUAAUACAAUGAAUUUGAUUGAUUACAAGUGCUAGAGAUACAUGAAGGAUGUUUAGAAGUGAAAAGAAAGACUUGUUGAUAUUUGAUCCCAAAUGGGAUAAGUACCCAAAACCAUUGCUUUGAGGCAGUGAAUGGCUUGUAUAAAUCUAUUUUGGGUUAUAAUAUGUUAUAAUACAAUGAAUUUGAAUGAUUACAAGUGCUAGAGAUACAUGAAGGAUGUUUAGAAGUGAGAAGAAAGACAUGUUGAUAUUUGGUCCCAAAUGGGAUAAGAACCCAAAACCAUUGCUUUGAGGCAGUGAAUGGCUUGUAUAAAGUUAUUUUGGGUUAGAAUAUGUUAUAAUACAAUGAAUUUGAUUGGUUACAAGUGCUAGAGAUACAUGAAUA
Molecule: long non-coding RNA, 410 nt
Filed under: Capsella rubella
Lineage: Eukaryota; Viridiplantae; Streptophyta; Magnoliopsida; Brassicales; Brassicaceae
Description: long non-coding RNA (CRUB_LNC000008)
Source: RNAcentral